Long non-coding RNA from Triticum dicoccoides, 1502 nucleotides. RefSeq lists it as uncharacterized. The transcript is spliced from 2 exons. Lineage: Eukaryota; Viridiplantae; Streptophyta; Magnoliopsida; Poales; Poaceae. The record is from RefSeq and is a predicted model, not a curated record.
CCGAUUUCUCCGCUCAAGUGAGUGACCACGCGACCACGCGACGGCGCCCGCAUUGGUAGCUGAAGGCAGGCCGGCCAUGGCUGCGCGGUGGCAGCCCUCGCCGGAUGAGCGUGUAGUGGACCAAGUCCGGCGCGCUCUUCCGUCGAGGGUGGCUGCCGGCGACGCGCACAUGGCCCUAUUAAGCGGUGGGAGGUCCAUUUCUUCGGUGGUUGCCGGCGUGAUACUUCGAAGCUGAUGACAGCGUGCAAGGCGCAGAGGCCAGGCGACGCACGCGUCCAUUUGCGCAGCAGCGGCGGCUGCAUCCUUCCGCACGCCUCCCCGAGAGACGGCAGCGUUCCAGCCAUGGCAUGCACGCACGGCGGCGGCCGUGCGGCCCCGAACACUGGCAUCAUUUAAAUCAAUACCAUCAGAUAGAGGGCAAGUCAACAUCGCGCCACAAUGUCGAAGACGAAGGGAUCAAACCUUCCUGAUGGUGGAUAAGAGAAGAGGAGGGUUAUCUGCAAUACCAGAUUUGAGUUGUUGACUAUGAUCCCACCUGUGAUCUCAGUCAUUAUGUUCCUUACCGAACUGGUGGGGACUUUCCAAGUUUCCAUUGGUUGUUGGUUUUCACGAGAUACUUCACCUGGAAUCAAUGUACUAGCUGGUAUGUGGGUCCAUAUAUAUUGUGCAUGUGGGUCCAUAUAUAUUACUCAUCCGUCUUCUCCCGACAAGAAUCGGGGUCUGUUGGGCAACACACACGAUUGUAGCUAUCAUAUCAAUUGGUCAUUGAUGGGAAAGGCCAACGGUAGUAGUAUAAAUCUGGAUGAGACGGGACGAAGAGAGUAUGCAAUAGAUUAGUAGUGGGGAAUAGGAGACACCGGGAAUAAGAGCAUGGGUCUUGUUUCACUUCAUAGGUCUCUGAUGUAUCCCUAGGACUAGGGAUAGUUUUAGAUUUGAAUCCAAACACACAAUGCACGUUAGGCUUCAUUGGCAGUAGGUGCGGUAGGUGAAUUUGAAGGGAACAAACUCCUCCGCAUGUUGCGUUGAAGAAUGUAGUCACGUAAUUAAUUAACGUGCAUGUAACUUUUCAUAUACUAGCUGUUAUGUCGCUGACUCCCAAAAAGCCCGGCUCAAAUUAAUCUCUGCAGACCGAAGCAAAUUUCAAGGGGUGCGCUGAUGAGAUCAGGCCCCGUGGCCGCGCUUGUAUCAUGGUGGCAACUCCACAACAGUAGAAGCUAGUUAGAAAUAUGCCAUGCUUGCUUACUGAGCAGGUGGCUCAGCAGUGGACCUCGGCAGUCGUGGGCAACCACCAUGACGAAACUAUACCUGAUUGAAUUAUAGUUGUAUCAAAUGGCCAGUAGGACCAAGUAUUGUAGGUCAUGCGAUUCGGCGUUAGAUUUGUAAAAAUUUAAGCUACCACCGUCCUCUGCUCAUGUUGAAUGGUAUAUUUUUGUUAUUCUGCUUUUUUUUAUAUUUCUACUUUGUUUUUCUGAAUCCCGGAAAUUAAAGAGACAUCCAAGAUC